This 497-nucleotide ribosomal RNA is filed under the name uncultured bacterium. RNAcentral's name for it is "partial 16S ribosomal RNA". It matches the Rfam family "Bacterial small subunit ribosomal RNA", at positions 28 to 507 of the family's 1533-position model. The record is from RNAcentral.
GAUGAACGCUGGCGGCGUGCCUAAUACAUGCAAGUCGAGCGAACGGACGAGAAGCUUGCUUCUCUGAUGUUAGCGGCGGACGGGUGAGUAACACGUGGAUAACCUACCUAUAAGACUGGGAUAACUUCGGGAAACCGGAGCUAAUACCGGAUAAUAUUUUGAACCGCAUGGUUCAAAAGUGAAAGACGGUCUGGCUGUCACUUAUAGAUGGAUCCGCGCUGCAUUAGCUAGUUGGUAAGGUAACGGCUUACCAAGGCAACGAUGCAUAGCCGACCUGAGAGGGUGAUCGGCCACACUGGAACUGAGACACGGUCCAGACUCCUACGGGAGGCAGCAGUAGGGAAUCUUCCGCAAUGGGCGAAAGCCUGACGGAGCAACGCCGCGUGAGUGAUGAAGGUCUUCGGAUCGUAAAACUCUGUUAUUAGGGAAGAACAUAUGUGUAAGUAACUGUGCACAUCUUGACGGUACCUAAUCAGAAAGCCACGGCUAACUACGUG